GAACGCUAGCGGCAGGCUUAACACAUGCAAGUCGAGGGGUAUAUUUCUUCGGAGAUAGAGACCGGCGCACGGGUGCGUAACGCGUAUGCAAUCUACCUUUUACAGGGGAAUAGCCCAGAGAAAUUUGGAUUAAUGCCCCAUAGUAUAUAUGAAUCGCAUGGUUUAUAUAUUAAAGUCACAACGGUAAAAGAUGAGCAUGCGUCCCAUUAGUUAGUUGGUAAGGUAACGGCUUACCAAGACUAUGAUGGGUAGGGGUCCUGAGAGGGAGAUCCCCCACACUGGUACUGAGACGCGGACCAGACUCCUACGGGAGGCAGCAGUGAGGAAUAUUGGACAAUGGGCGCAAGCCUGAUCCAGCCAUGCCGCGUGCAGGAAGACGGU
Molecule: ribosomal RNA, 381 nt
Filed under: uncultured bacterium
Lineage: Bacteria
Description: bacterial SSU rRNA
Rfam family: Bacterial small subunit ribosomal RNA
Source: RNAcentral